CAGAGUACCUUUAGCACUUCUGUGGCACAACUACUGCCCUGUCUUCUCAACAGUAAUGCAGACCUUUCCAUGACUACUGGUCAUUUAAGAGACUCUUACUUCCUACAUCACAGUCCUGUCCUUACACACAGGCAAUACACAAUCAGAGUCUUACAGCUAUCUCAGCAAGAAUGAUAACAGGUCCUCCUUUCGUUUUGCUCCUUUGUGAUCUGCUGAAUCACUCUAGAAUUCCUCGUUUUAUUUCAGUAAUAAACAACAAAACAAAUACAACAGCAAUGAAGAGCCUGGAGGGUGGCACCAACUAUAGAGGAUAGUGAGAACUACGCAGAUUUAUCUUCUUGGAGUUUGGAAAACAGCAGUUGACUCAGAGCAUGAUGGAGUCACCUUGCUGUCUGAGUUAACAUUAACUUUAUCAUGUUCUGAGAUGACUGUGGUAAUGAGGACUUCAUGAGGAGCUACAUGACCCUCAAGGGAAUUUUGAGUUUAAAGUUUAACCGUGUAUCUUCUCAUGUGAUGUUAGAGGUAUAAACCCUGCAGGACAGACUGGAAGCACGUCUGCUUUCCUUUCCAAGCCACAUGAUGACUUUGGUGGGUUGCUUCAAGAUGGGUAGAACAGGUGGCUUAAGAAAGAAGCUCCAGCUGGAAGCUGGGCAUGGUACCAUGGCGCAAAACCCUCUUUCUCUAUCCUUGUCCCGUUGUGAUCUCAAAGGCCCUGAAGCUGUACCUGCAGAGAGCCUGCAUGAAGCUUGCAGGUGAGAUAUCUGCCCGUGGAGCCUGUGUGCCUUCCUUCAUGUACAUCCAUUUUGCCUCUCUUGUACUGAGCUGGGAGGGAUAUGAUUAUGAGACAAGUCACAAACUAAUCAGAGCAGGUUAGGGUCACUUUACAUUCUGAUGCAGAAUUAAACCAAUGAGGAACUUGAUUGGCUCAUGCUAAAAUGAUCAUCAUGACUGUUUCUCCUUUAUUAGGCCUGAAGAGCCUAGUGAUCCCAUUUCUGAGUCAGAGCCUCAACACAGUUUUUCACACAAUUCCCAAUUAGCAGCAAAGAAAAAGAAAAGGCAGAUAAGACUUCUGAAUUACUGAGAGGGAACCUCAGUGGUUUGCACACCAGGGUAACAGCUCCUCCUGCAAGUAGAACCCUCAGUGGCAUGCUCUUCUAACUGGAAAUACCUGAUAUUUUCCUUUUUAAAAGUAUGGAUGCUAUUUUAAUUGCCAAUUACUGAUUAAUAAAAGGAAUUCAAUAAUACAUAAUGAAAAUACCUUAUAAUAUGAAUUACAUGUGGCCCAGCUUUACUGCUAAGUCAUGCCUCAGUCACUGAUUGGAAUGGUUUAUCCAAGUGCUUAUCUUUAAGCCCCCAAAUAAUCCCACUGAACUCAGCAGUGGAAGGCACCCUUCAGUAUUAUAAACCAAAUCUCCAGCCGUAGUAUUUUACAAUUUCAGUACCUGACAACCUAAGUGUUUGCCAACUGCAAUCUUUCUUUCCAUUUUGGCUGCUCUUGAGUGUAUUAUGUGACUCUAGUUUUACUCAUUAAAGACUCAGAUUGUGCUUGUUUUGUUAACAACCGUUAGGGCAGGGGUUCUGACUCUCAAUUGGUACCAUCUGGAAAUGAGAAGGAAAUUCCUUAGGAUGAACGCGAAGACGAGGAAAGUCCUUACAGUUUCUCAUGUCUGCAAAACUUGUCCCAUUUGCAAUAGCCAGAUCUGACCUAGGAGCCUGCCUGCCCUUCCAUUUCUGCUGGGAGCUGGUGGGAGUGUUUUCUUUCAAGAAAAAGAUAAUCGCCGUGUUGCCAGCAGAACUAGAAAAUAAUCAUUUUGAAGUGGAAAGUCGCACAAUUCCGGCUGCUAGCAAACCAGGCCUUUUUAUGCAAAUUGAAUAUCUUUGUUCCCAGUUUUUUCCAAUCCUGCACCACUUGUUCAGCAUUUCCUCAUUUUCUGGCACUGGUUUCCAUAGCUGCGUGCAAUCACACUCUCACACAGAUGCCAUUCUGUGUUCAAAGCACUGAAUGCUACAGGGCAUAUUAGUGUUUUUAUGCUUUAGAUCUAUCUUUAUGUAACUUCGGAGCUCAUUAAUAUAUACCAUUUUGUGUGAUUAAAAAACAACAACCUGGCACACGAAAAGCUUUGAACAGGAGAAUGGAUUGUAAGGAAAAUGGCUUUCUUUUCAUUAUGCAGAUUUUAAGCUAGACAGGAGAUGUGCCCAGAAAGUUAGUGGAGUAGGUACUGGCUACUGCAAGGGAGUGAUUCCCUGACUGCAGCCCUGCAGACUGCACGUCAGAAGAAAGAAACAGGAAAAAUCAAAUGCUAUUUAACUGCGAAGAUUUUCACAUUAUGAUUUCAAAACAGUGGAUACAAAUGAAUGGAAAAUGUCCAUGGCAUUCGUCUUAAGGCUUUUUUUGUCUUAAGGUGUGCUCUUUUGCAGUGUAGAAAGACAGAGACUGGACUGAGAUGUGCAGGUAUGGGAAUGAUGGCCUCACUUUGAAUAUUGAAUGGGCACAGAAAGGUGUAGAAGCUCUGGCUGUUGGUGAAGCACAGUUCUUCUACUUAGGUUACAGCCUGAAAUGCUGACUCUAAAACUGUUGUGCCAGGAAGUAUGCAGAUGAUGUGUGCCAGCACACAGCGCUCUAGCUGUGGAUGUGGGUUGUGAAGCAGAGUGACGUGGGUGUUUUUCUGACCAUCAGUUCUGACUUACAACUGCUUUCAGUCUAAUGACACCAGCAUGUCACCUGCUAGCCAAAGCACAGGCUGUUAUAGCACUAAAAGCUGUGAGUGUCUCUUUCAGGUCCCUCUCCUUGACAAUACUUACUGUCCUUCCAAGGCAUCCUGAUUACCUCCAAAAACACCUAAUACUGACCUAAUACUGUAGGUACAUGUGGUUUAGAUGGCAUCACUCAGCAAAGCAGCAGGACAAUCUCCCCACCCAGUUUGAGAGUCUAUAUUCAUAAGGAGCAGCUUUCCAGAAAAAAAAAAAAAAAGAUAUAUUUGGAGGUGGUUGGAAUCUAUUGAUGCAGCAUGGGCAGUGGGAAUAAUGUAAAAUCUGGUGUAUAACCCACUCAACGCUCACAAAACCCUUCUAGGAAUGGUCAACCAAAUCCAUUUUUCCUGUCAUAUCUCUGUGUUAAGGGAUACGUGACUUGAGCAGCAAUGCAGCCCUUGGGCAGCUGGAGAGGUAAGGGAGAGAGCCACACAACCCACACAAUUCUGCUUCCAAACAGCAGCUCCAAGCAUUUUCCCAGUGCUGGGAAGUUUUGUUCUUCUCCUUUUCCUCCUGUGCGUUAAAAGGAAAGUACUGAUUAUAUGGAACUAUGGCAGCAAAUUGCUACUAAUGUAUGAAAUGAAAAUCCACGCCUCACGGCACAGAGAUCUUAGACAGAUACUCUGCAAUUACUGCCUUGCUACAAUUUCUGCUGGGUGUUACUCAAACACAAUACUGAGCACAGGUAAUUUACUGCAGAGGUCAUAAAAAAUCUCAUUAAACCCACAUAAUUUAAGACCAGGUAGUUUCCCAGCUCACGUUUUGGCUUGGCACCAAGCUGUGGGACCUGGCUGGGUGGCUGCCCACAGGAAAAUUCUCCCUGGUGAGAGAAAAAGCAGUGGCAGUGAGAAGGGUGAGCUGUGUGCUAUAUAGCAGGACAUGGAGGCUGACUAGCUGCACGUUUCUCUCACUGUCUUGCAGAAGCAUGGGGAUGUAACCAGCUGCUGAGAGUGCAGAUUUGAUGUGGAGAGGCUUAAGAACUGAGCUAGUCUCUCAAGUAGCCAACAGCCUGAACCUGAUAGCCAUUUAUUUCCUGGGAAUAGCAACCUCCACCCCCCCCCCCCCAAGGAUUUGGCAUUCUCUCCCAUGUGAUAAUCUGUUGAAUACUCUACAAGAUAUGGACCAGAUUUCCUCCGCAGCGGCAUCAGGUACUGCUGCUUGGAGCAGGCAGGGCCAGUUGGCAGCAGUGCAGGCGUCUCACAAAUGUGCUGAUGUAGCACUGACACGGGAGCUGCUGCCAGGGCCCUGCCUGCACAAGGGUAGGCAGGAAUCAGAACUAUCUUUGUGCAGUGUAAUUUAGUGACAGGCCCAGCUGUCCUGACUCCUGUUUUUAGGUGGUAAAUACCCCACACAGAGGUGCCACAACUGUGCCAGUCAGGGUGAAUCAAACUCUCCAAGCAGCCACCACUGAGGCAUUUUGCCUUCUCCAGCUAAUGACCCGAGGUGUCAGCUGGUUGAUGUAAUAGGAGUAAACACAUUUCCUAUCAUCCAGGUCUUUUACAGCCAGAUGACACUCGGCAUCUGAGUGAGGUGUCAGUCCAAGAAGAAAUGCAGGCUCCCAGAUCUGCCUCCUUGAUGUUGGCCAUGGCUGGCUGGAGCCUCUGCAGGGGAUGGCAUCUGUGUUCAUCAACUCUGCUUCUUGCUGCCCAGCUCUGGGGCUGGGCCAUGCUGCCUGACUGUAGCGGGAGCUGUGGUGGAAGCAGAAGCUCUGUGGGUGAGCCAGGAGCCUGGCAGGGGUUCCUGCAUGUCUGGGAAUAAACACACCUGAGUGACUCUAGGAAAGAUGGUUCAGCCCAAGAGAGUGUAGCUACAGACACUAAAGAAGCCCAACAAAAAAAGCCCAGUAUCGGCUUACUAACUUUUCUUCCAAGACAAUGACAACACAUUUUUAAAAUGAGUUAAUUCUCUUCCUGCAGCACCCUAGCACAUCCUUUUUAUUUUUCUCUGUAAGGCCUAGCUUGCCAAUGGAAUAUUACAACUGAAAGAAAAUACUUGAUAUUGAUGGGGAAACAACACAAUGACUUCAGAUACCCAAGGAGAGAUAUUUGUAUAUACAGAGAGAAUUUAACCUCAAAGACUCAGUUCACCUAUUCAUGUGUGAUUUAUGUUGCCCCAGGCUCCUAGGCAGAGUGAACACUGACACCCUUUGAUGUUGAAAGAAGCCUAGUGACUGGCCUUUGGAGAGAUUUGUGAUGUCUCUAUCAGCCUGUCAGUGGAAAACCAGGCAGCAAAGCCAGGCCCCCUGAAGAUUUCAAGGCCUUGUAGGCAGAGGAAUUGUGUAAGCAUUUUACUUUCACCAAGUGCUUGAGAGGCUGAGCACAAACAGGCAGUCUAAUUGAGUGGCUACAGAACACUGUGCUGCAGUCUGCAUCUGCGUGGCUCUCCAUGACUGAUGCCCUUUUGGCCAGGGAAAGCGGCCAGCAAUGGGUGCAUUUAGCAAUUGCAUGUCCCUGGGUGAUGCACUGUUUUUGCAGCAUGGUGGAGACAUGAGAACCCAAGGACAAGGCUUUAAAGUGAGGAAUAAACCUUGCUUAUUUGAAAUGCAAAGCAUUUUCUUGUAGUUGCAGAUGGGCAGAUAGGCCCUGCCCCUAAUUACUGCUCAUCUCUGUGGUAUCAGAUGUCAAGGGUUUUCAGUGGGAUGAAAUAGUCCUGAAUAGGUUUGACAUCCUACAAAGAAAAGGACGAUACCAGAAGAAAAAAGAAGUGCCAGCAGUGCAAUAUGUGCUGUACAGCUCUGGCACAGGACCAGAUCAUGCACCAAGGUUAGCGAUGGGAAGCAGGUGGCAGGAGGGACCACGGGCUGAUGCUCCUUGUGAGGUGAAUUCCCAGACAAUGUGUUGAGCAACACUUUGGAAGACAGGAUUAAAAUUCAAUAUAAUGCUGAUAGAUUGGGGUAAUGACUUGAAAACAGUAACACAUGAUAUAAUAAAGACAGCUGUAGAAUGGUUUACACGGAAUUAAGGACUGCUGGCUAGGCACAGCAGGAUCUGAGGAUUACUGGGGAUUAUAAACUGAAGAUGCAUCUAAAAUAUGAUGCUAUUGCAAAAACAAACAAAGGACCAGUGCUCCAUGGUUAUAUCGAGGAUGAGAGCUCAUUUGAAUCAGAUGUGUCCAAGAUUGCAGCUCAUCAGGAAACGUACAGAAAUUGUCCAAGCAAUUGGAGACUAAGACCAAGUGGGAGCUGCUAUGUACCACUGGGCAAACACAGACUAAGAAAUUGCCUUUGAGAGAGACUGAGGCAUCUAGAGAGUGAAUUUUCUAUUGGUCUUUGAGAACUAAAAAGUGAAGCUGUUGUUAACUCAGAAACAGAUGAGGAGAUUGGGAAAGGACCCCAAUGAACAAAUGUCACUAAAUGCCAUGCCCUGAUGAUGCAUUCUGCUUUACCAGAAUUGUGCUUAGUCUGCUAACCUGUAUCUUGUUCAUUUUAUAUGUGGGGCAGUUGAAUUAAUUUUAUUUAUUAUUAUUAUUAUUAUUAUUAUUAUUAUUAUUAUUAUUUUGACAACCCAGUUCUGUUGGGCCACAAUAAAGAGGGCAGGAAUAUGGGGAUUAAUUUCUGUUUCUCUCUGUCUGCAUCUCUGAUAAGCAUUGUACCUGUAGCAUUAGCAAUGUCAUUUAUUGUCCUUUACUUGCACUUGUCCCUUUGGAAAGUCAAAUGCUGGUAUCAUCCUUCCUUUCUUUUUCCUUGUGCCCUUCAAGUGAAAGGACUGUAAAGUCAUAGGCUUAAAGGUUGUGAAUGGAACAUCUGACGCUGGAGAGCAGACAUCCACACAUUUACCUCAGUGGGAAAGUGGAGAGUAAUUGUGGGUUCUGAUUUUCCAUGGAGCCUCUGUGGGGAACUAAUAGUCUGGACUUGUCCUUUCUGAGGCCUAAUUAUGUCUCUCUGUCAAACUAUAAAAACAAGAGUCUGUAGCAUCACAAGGGAAAAUGAAAGCUAUUGGCCUGUGUUCUGCAUUUAAUAGGAUGUCAAAAUCUGAAGCACAGUCUGACUGGUUUUUGACUGGGGUUAGAAAAGAAAAUGCAACUAAUUAGGCUGUUCUGAAUAUCCCUCUUUGUCUCAGAGCUGUAGACUUGCAAACUGUAACGUACUGGGAGUCCCAAACUCUCUGAUCAGUGCUGCUGUCUGGAUGGGAGGGGUCUUCCCUGCUGAUGGGAUUCAGGCUCCACUUAAGCAACGUCACCAUUAGUGAGGACAGUUCCCUGGGAAAUGCUUUGUGCCAUCCAACUUCUGUGUGUCAAGGAGACGGAAAAACAGAGCAAAGAUUUCAGGAGUAAGGAGCUGGAGAUGGGCGCUCCAUUGGAAGCAUCACACACAGUGGAUGAAGUAGUGCUUUCAGCUUGCUUUGAAGAUUAUUUUCCAAAGUCUUUGACAGUGAAGAAAAAUUUGGAAAGCACCUCGAGUAUGAAUUGCAUGAUGCCCUAUAUAUGAACAAUUAAGGCACUAAUCACACUUUGGAGUCUGCUGUAUUACAUGUUAGUUGAUGUCCGAGUGCCCUCCUCUGUUCUUUAGGAGUUAAUUUGAGCAUUUUUUUGCUUUUUUUUUUUUGCACUGAAGACAUUUCUUGGAGAGAACUGCAGAAGUUACUAGUUCCUUUUACCUUUCCCUUGUCAGCUGCCCUCAUUCUGAACCAAUGCUACGCUCAGCUGGCUCCUCAUGUUUUACAGAUGAACUGAAAUAAAGUGGAAUUUGUCCCACUGUGAAAUAAAGGAAGAGGAAAAAAUAACUGUCUGCAAGAUUUUUCAUGCAAGUCCCACAUCCUUGGUUUUGCCCUCUUUUUGACACAGAAAUUUGAUUGUCUUCCACUUAGACAUUCUAAGGCACCUUUCUGGUUUUCAUUCUUUUUUCUGAUCUGACACUGGGUUAGUCAGGAAACUGCCAACUUUGCCUCACAGUCAAAAUUAAACACUGCAAUUCAAACUGAGAGGACAUCAAUGGGCAGGAAAAAAAUGAGGUCUCAAAAUGGUGUUUUUUGUAAAUGUCACUUCUACAAGGUCUUGCACAAGGAUUUGAGUUAGGAAAGCAGUCAAUGAGUCUGCAAGAAAAGAGAAGGUCUUUCCAGGAGUCAGCCUAAAGAGAAAAAAAAAGAGUGGAAGAGAGAGUAAAAAGAGAAUGAACAGCAUAACCAUAAGGAACUUAGGAAGCUGAGAGAAAUGAGCACCUGGAUCAUUUUGGAGACUGAGAAAAUACUGUGUGACAAGGCCUCAACACUUAUGUGGAGAUUUACAGCUGUUGUUUCCAAUAACUGCACAGUGAUUUCACCCACAAAUAAUAGUUUCUGCGGAGACAGCUAAACACUGCUGGUAAGUGUGCCUUUUCCCAGGUUGCCAAACAGACUUCCCAGCAGCAAAACAGACUCAAAGCAGUUUGGGCUCAGUGCAAGAAGCAGAAAACUGCUCACUUGGAAACCUUGUCUAGGCAGACCCUUCUUCUCUGGCACUGAACAAUAUCCACUUGGCAGAAGCAAGGAAAGCAAUGGGACCUGACCAUCACUUGAAAAACUCUUUAGCCCCUGGGUCUGUCCUGUGUUUCCAGUGCAGAACUGCUCUCCCUAGAGAUGAGGGCAGGAAAACUGUCGCCUUUCUAUGGCUUACUCAGUGUCUGAGCAGGAGCCAGUAGCUUCAUUUUGGUCUAAUCCCAAGAUAUACCCAUGAAGGUGCUCAUCUGGUGCCAAGCCUCUAGUCCAGGCAGGGACCAGUCUCACAUUGUUUUCCUUGGCCCCUGAGGACAAGCUUCCCAAAGCUUAUUGAGGAGCUACUUAGCUAAGACCUGUAUCUGUAUUUUUAGGAAAGUCUUUGAGAAUGAUCUUAACCUAAAUGCCCAUUUAAGCCUUACUGAACCGUGGUGGACGCGGAUUUACACGAGCUUAAAUAAUUUCCUGAUGCAAGCUGCAGCUCUAAGUUUUGGGUAUUGUUUCCAGUUUAGCGAUGGAAACCCUCUCUCAGCUUAAGUAAUGUGUGAGUUACACAGCACAGGGAGAAUGAAAUGAUAAAUUAUCACUUCUGAGAGAAUAGCCAGUUUGUUUGCUGUCUCCCCAUCAGAUCCUUCCUACUGCAGGUGCUCACAGUGGUUUCUCCAAUCAGCAAAAAAGCCUUCCUGAUUGCCCCGUGCAUAGCUUAGCCUGUCAGGAGCCACCAAAAUCCCAUAUCUGAGCACAAAGGCGUGGGGCAUUUCGAAGGUCUGACAGUUACUGAAAUCAGAGACUGCAGUUAACAUACAAGCCACUUACAAAUGGAGGGCGGAAUAAUAACCACACAGCUUAAAUUUAGCAUAAAAAGUUAUAAAAUAGGUAUUACGGUGGUUGGGGAGUUUGCAUUUUUUUCAUCUAUUUUCAUCCAUACAGCUUAAAGGGUUGGAGGGGAUGUGCUGUGCAAAUAAAGGAUUACUUUUACUUUUUAAUCUGUGGCAUGAAGAUGACAUAAAAUCUACCCCUGUGAGUUGCCAUGUAAAUGAAUCCAAGUCAAAUAAUACACAGGGAGCAACAAAGCAAACCAACCCAGCCUGCUCUGCAAUACGGGUGUUUAAUUUGUGCACAGAAAUCCCAGGAACUGAAAAAAACUGGGGCCAUUUCAAAAUGCACAGAGCCAUGCCACCCUCCUUCCCACAAAAGCUGAUCUUUUAAAAUAUUUUUUAAAUAUACAUAUAUUUUUUUAGGAGAGUGGGCAGGGAAGGAAGAAAGGUCAGCAAAUCCGUGUUAGAUGAUAGCACAGAUUCCUCAGCUACAAAACGCAAGGGCCGAGCAGAACAAAGAGAUUUGCAUUCUAAGUGAUGCAAAGCAGCCAGCAGCGUUUUAAUGUUGUGUUUGCUCUGUGAUGUCUUCAUCAGGCGCUCAAAGGCAGCGGCUCUGGCAGCCGUGGGUCCCUGUGAGCCUGUCAAACUCCGUUUCCAUGGUUUUCCUUCAGGCAGCACCAUCGGCAGACAGCACGGAAAUGGACCCCUGCAACCUGUUUUGAACAGUGUCUCUGAUGUAGGGCCCCAGAGCGGGCAUCAAACUAGCAACAAGCAGCAAGAAAAUAACAAUUUUGCUUUUUGCAGGUGUCAGAACGGCAAACAAAAGGCUGUUUGUAGAAGAUGCAACAUCCCCUUUUUGUCCGUGUUGGCAGUUUAAAGUCAGCCGGGCAGCCGUUAAGGAGAUUUUGGAUGGGGUGUGCUGUGAGAAGGAGCUCGUCUUGAGGAAUUCCAAUUGUUACCUCUUGCACCCUUUAGCCUCACUGAACAGGGCCUUCUCCUCACUGAGCUAAUAGCUAUUAAUGCUGUUUCAAUUAUUCCGUUUGUGUGAAUGACCAGGGCUAUUUUUUUUCAAUCAAUUCUAUAUAUAUACAUAUUUCCAGACAAAAAAGGCAUGAGUCUCAUUCCUCCUUACCUUGAAAAACACUCUUUCAUUUAAAUAAACAGUUCAGAACAUGUUAAGCAUUGGAAGCAUUAUUUCAGCACUGAUAGAGAACAGUCUGUUACCUGUACUGGCAAGAAUGGACAUUCAGUGCUCGUGAGCUGUGCAUGGUUACCUCGGAGCCUGCAGCACAUGACCUUCACACUCAGCUCCUUCCAUCACACAUCCACCUGCUGGAGGUCAGCUGUACGGAUGGCAGUCCAGGAUUCUUGGUUCCUCUGAAUCUCAAUGUUUGCAGCUCCUUUUCAGAGUUCUAUUAAGAAUACAUAACAGUGUAAUUCCAAUUCCUGAUUUCAUGGUGCCCACUACCUCAGAAACACAAUCUUGUUCUUUUUAAUGGAAAAUAUUGAAAUGCUUGUGGUUGUGUUCCAAAUAAGGGUGGAAACAAAUAACAGGGGAAAAAAAAAAAGAAGUGCUAAGGCUCAUGCAAAGCAGAGACACAUUUUUCUGUACAGCUCUCAAACCAAAGCAAUCUCGUUCAUGGUCUGACUAAAGUUAUCCAAAACACAUUCAAUAAAUGAUGUUUCUGUCCUCAGAGAACUCACUGGAUGUUUUGUCACCUCCUACAUUUUUCAAAUACAUUUAAUACUUUACUCAUAAUUAAGGAGCUGGUUAAUAUUGUAUUGUAUCUGCAUAUGGAGCAGAUUGAAGUUGCUAGGUGUGCUUAGAGAAACAAUGCUGAGGAGCAGAUAUAGGUGAUGUAACACUACAACUGAAAUCCUAACCUCAUCAUCUGUUUAAAGGAAUUCUCACAGUAUCUAAAGAGAAAAUAGGCUUGUAACUGAGAAGGCUUUCAAAGUGGUUAUCAUACAUUGAUUAUUAUUAUUUCAGAGCUCUGAUCUGCUAAAUAUGCAUUUUUUAAAUGAACACAGUUUGCAUCUACAACACCGAUUACAUGAGAACAAGUCUAGGUACAUCCAUACUGACACUACAGGCAAGGUACUAACAGAUACCAGUGUUGCUCACCUUGGCAUAUACGGUUCCCAUGUUCCAAAAAUAGCUAAAUUGUUUUCCAUCAAUAGAAACAACACAUUCAUUCCAAAUGUAUUACUGUACAGUGCUGAAUUUGCUCUGACUUACUCAAGAGCCAGCUGUACAGCAGAACGAACAUUCAAUGAAAUGAACAGUGGCUGGCAUGAAGGGAAGGGGUGAACAAGCCACAGACUCUAGCAGAGAUUUCUUUUGAUCAAAGCAACUGUUUAUGACUUUUGUUCAGUGUCUCAAGAUGAAAAAAAUAUGUCUGUGUCACAGUAUAGACAGAAGCUGGCAGCUGUAGUAUGCCUGUACUAUUUUUAAUGAAUACUGUUGUUUGCAGGGUACUAGGUGAUCAUACAAAACAUGGCUUUGUAUUGUUUCUCAGUUAGCUGUAAGUGGUGUGGGUUAAAGCAAACAAACAGGAAAAGCAGAACCUACUUCACUGAAGAAUGGUUUGGAACCACACACUUGUAUAGCAGGGCAAAGGGCACAUGUCUGGGGAAUCACUGGAGGGGACUGGGAGCAGUUGCUUUAAAACUCCAGGCUUUAAAAAUAUAUAUAUGCAUGUUUAUGGUAUUUAUGGAUGGGUACUGGGCUGGAGAGAGGAAAGGAUGCCUAAGCAGAGCUCACCUUGUAUUCUCUCCAUUGUUUAGUGAAUGCUAUUGUCAAAUCAGGAGAUCUGCAGAUGUAUUUAUUUUGGAAUAGAGUACUUUGUUCUGUUUUGGAUUAAACCUUUCCAGAGCUGCACUUGCCACUGCUGCAGGCAAGACUUGUAAGCUGCACUGAGCAGUGUGGUGAAGCAGGCUGCAGGCAUAAAAGGGGAGAAGCCACCAUUGACACCAAUAGGAAGAAACUAAAGGGAAGGCAAAAAGCAUCACUGUUCUGUAAUAAGAUAAUGCAGAGUUACCCCAACAGAUGGGCAGGGAGAACAGUGGGCUAGGGAGCAGGUAACACCCUUAAGGCCUAUCACAGGAUUACUAGUGAUUCUGUAGGGUGCAUUCCCAUUCCCACACUUUGAUUUAGCAACACAGCUCUCAUCAUUACCAUCACUCAUUUUAUGCCAUUCUUACUUUUCAGGCAACUAGAGGAAAGUUUUUUAUAGGAGAAAAACAGCCUGAAGUCUUACUCUGCCAGUAAGCAGGAAUUUAUCAUGUAAGAAGUCUUUCUAGGCUGUCACAUUUAUAUUAUUCUUCGGAGGCCUGGUUGGGAAAGGUGACAAAUAAAAUCAAAAAGGACAAAGAAGUUAGCACAGCACAGUGUGCAGGAGAUAACCUAAGCAGAGCAAGUAGACUGGAUGACACACUUGGGGUGAAACAGAGGUGGUAAAAUGUAAUUUUAUCUCAGCAUUUUCUUUGGCUGACUUCUGAGUCGCCAACAUAUUAAUGGCUCAUCCCCUAGCAACUACAGAGCUUCCAACAUGCAACUAUUCUUUGGUCAUAAAGACAAAAAAUGGUGUUCGCCAGAACAGAGCUACCCCAUUCUGGGUUGCUGACAACAGUCCCAGACUGUCCAUAUGCUCUGCUGCACUCAGAAGUGGUAAAGCAACAUUUUUGCUCCCACUAGGGCUGGUGGUAUCCCUGUGGUUGUUAUUGUUCCCAUCCAGACCCUCUACUGGUUCCCAGAGCUCGCACCCGUUCUGUUUCAGGCUGUACUGAUAGCAAUGUCACAGAUCCUGAGCGCGGAGCAGAGCGAACAGAUGUAGCUGCUGUCGCUUCCCUGCACACCGUGGCAGGGCCUGACUCACUUCAUUCCUAGAAGGGCUCCUGUGGGAUGGCUGUGGAGUGGUUUAAGUGAAAGGCAGCACGGCUGCUCCUGUGGGGCAGGUCUGGGCAGAGGUGGGCAAGUGGCCCCACAUCCUGCAAGGAAGUACAGACCUGACACCUUUGGGGCUGUGGCAUCUAAGAGUAAUCUUUUCUUCUAAUGGGGUGAUUAUAAUAGAUGAAAUGAGGAGCGAGGAGUGAAGCAGCAAAGGACUAGCAGCUCCUUGACUCCCCCAGGGGUCAGGCAGGCAGUUCUUGGUUCCUCAAGCAUGAAUUCAAGGCUCUGGAGGUUUUGGUGCAAAUUGAGUAAAAAGUUCUUAUGGUGCAAUUUAGCAUCGCUAUUUCUGCACAACUUCACAGUACUGUUCUUGAUUAGCUUAAGCCUACGAUGCCAUUUGAAGGGGUGAUCCCAUUUUAUCCCCCAUCUCUCAGACUGACACUCCCAUCUUGUUAAGCCCCAACCAAAUCUAGUCAUGGAAUGGAUUGCAUGGCUGAAUAAAUGUUGAUACAUAGGUUGAAUGGGGAAGUAAUGCUGUUGGCAACCUGGCCUCAGGUCAGCUUAAGCUGACUGUAAAAGUGCACCCUUGGCUGGCAUAAUCUAAUUCCCAAGUGUAACUCUGUGUUAAACAGCCUGAUAUGCUAAGGCUUCCAGCAGAAGUCUUUGAUAUUAUGCUGUCCUGGGGAAUCCUGAUGCAUUGGACAAACUCAGUUUGGUCAGCAGAAAAGCUAAACUAUUAUUUUCUACUUAGGUAAAAAGCAGCAGAGGGAGAAAUUCACUGUUCUGACUCCUCUCCUAGAAAGACAAUCGUGGGCAAAAUACCAGUUUCUUUCUAGUGUUAAAUCCAGUAUCUUCUAGAACUAACUCCUAUCACAACUUAUAGUGCUUUCAGGGAAGGAUACUCAGUGCUGCAUGCCUUCUUUAGGUAAGGAUUUGCAUGUUAAUCUGCACGUUCUCUGCCAAGGCACUUCAGAGACUUCAUUAUCUACGUUAUCACUGUUAUUCUCCUCCCCAGAAGCCAGUCUGACCUUAAAAAGAGAGGUAAAUAUUUUAGCUUCUUUUGCAGAACUGAAGUGAUGCUCUGCUUGUUUUUGAACUUAUUCCCACUAAAAUAACCAGCUCGAAGAGGCACUUUCAGCUUCUUGGGGUAAAAACUUCCCUUUUACUAAUAGUCACUGGCUCUGUUCUUUAAUUCACAAGAGACUCUUCCCUCCCCUGCUUGCAUGUUAGCAUCUUCAAUGGAACAGCUGUGUCAUUGCUGAAGGGUGUCAAUCUUGCCCUAACACCUUAUUGACACCUAGAGUCAGGGAGGCCCCCAUCUUUUCUGAUUUAGGCAACUUCUCUGAAGUUUCCUUCUCAUUUCCUAUCAAAAAGCUUCCCACCGUAGUCUGACCUGCAGAUGUAGCCACAGCCUGGCACCAUGCACAAUAACAGCCUGAACUGCAGCAGCAAGGUUUGAAAUGUUCUGCCUGCAUCAGUCCUAGCGAUUAUAACCUAGAGAAUAACAAUAAAAAUUCCCUAACAAUGUCAAGGGACAAUAAGCCACAGCUAAUCAAUGAGCACAAUACCUACAGCACACCAGAGCCCAGAAUAGAAACUGCUCCGGCAGGUGGGACAGCUGGCUUGAAUUUUUAUUUAGUGGUUGUGAAAGGCACCGUGGCUUUCAGUGAGACAAGAACAGCACUGACAGUGACAGAUCCCCCAUUACAUUGUGCCACUGAACAGAAUGAGCCACUUCAGCAGAUACAGUUCAUUUUUCUUAAGAGUUCUGUAAUGGGUUGGAAUUAGUGUAACAUUUCUUUUUUUUUUUUUUCUUUAUAAAUUCCCAUUACCUACCAAUGCUCUGGACUUCCCCUUCAAAGGUCACCUUGACUUUCUGGAGGCCUGGGAAGUUGCUGUGACUCUAGAAAAAUCCAGGGCAAAUUUGCAUGCUGAGCUGACUGCCUGCACAAUCUGUCUUAAAACAGCCAGCACAGCAGUGGGUGCCCUGGUCAGGAUUUCUAUCAUCCCUCACCAAUGCUGGGUGCAAGGUAAUAUUUCCCAGACACAACCUGUUGUGCAAUGGAAGGUCUAUAGGAACACCCUUCCUUUUAUUUCUUAUUCUUUUACUCUCCAACACUAAACGCGAUGUACACAUUUAUCCUGUGUUCAAACAGCUCUGUGCUGAAGUUCGGAACAAAUUUUCCUCCAAUAUCAGUGGAAAGAGAUUAAAACCACUGAGCCCACUGAAUGUUUGUGCUACUUUGUAGGGGCUGUGGAUGACCCAAGAAAUCUCAAUCAGUGGUUCCUAGCAGGAGACAGUAAGCAGUUAAUCAACACCAGUUGUUCUGGCCUGCUCCUGGAGUCUCUGUAGCAGAGUGGUGGCCACCAGAAGUUGGCUCUGAGUUGCCCACUGCUAAUAGAACCUAAAUUUCCCACAGAGCCUAAGCAUUUGUGACAGUGGGAAGCAUUUAUUAACAAACUGCUCAGCAGAUGAAGAUGGAUACAGGUUUUUUUGUUUGUUUGUUUGGACUUGGAGUAGGUCCAGAAAAAGGAGACAAAUGGAGUCAUAAAAGAAAUGUAACAUCUUAUGAAGUGAUCCACUGGUCUUACUUCUCCAGUACUUCAGAAGGCAGGUGAGUGCAGCAGGGUCUGGGUACGGACCUGAGAACCAACAUGUAGGAGCUGUUGCAGGACUUGAACUGACCAUGACAUUUUAAUUCCAGUUUAAGUGGAUUUACCCAAAUGACUAUGAUUAUUAAAUUUGUUAGAUCAGUCAAAACUGGGACGAUACUAAUAGGCAAUCUGUGCCCAGAAAUCUUUACCUAGCAGUCAGUAUACAAGACUCAAUUGUAAGUAAGUUAUAUCCUAAUUUGAAGACAGAUGUGCAGACUAUGGGUGUCAGUUAAUUUCAACUUGACUCUCAAAAAUCCUGCAUUAUUCCCCUUCAGAUCCACCUUCUGUGAGGCUGCGAUUCCAAACAUCCUGCUGCUUCUCCAAAGCCAUCAGCGGAUUUCUCCUGGGCCUGAACUGGGCCAAUGACAUUUUCAGAUAGGCUUGGCCAGAUGUAGUCGUUAAAAAAACUAGGCCAACGUAGUGUGUGCUGUUAAUGAAAGAAACACAGACCCCAGGGGAGAAUAUGAACAUCAGGUUAUUUGGCCACCAGCUGACUCCUUAUCAAUAAGUGCUGUGGCAGAAGGCAGAGCUGUAUUAUGCGUGCUGAGAGGGCACUGUUGCAAGCACAGGCACCACACUUGGGAUAAUAACCUAGUCUCAAAAUUAUGGAACCCACAUCAAAGCCAUACAUGCCUGGCACCCAAUUUUUUUCUUUUUUUUACUUAGUUCUGCUUUUGACAUCACACACAAACAACAAACCUAGCUGACUUGCACUGUGCUGAGCCCUGGGAGCUGGAGCUGCCUGGCCAGAAUGGCUGCAGGACCAGGACUUGCGUGAAAGCAGAACCUGCUGGCUGGGUGUGCUUGCCCUGAGUCACUCUGAUAUGAUCACAAGCUACAAAUGAUUAUUUUCCCCUCUCAUAAGCAGGAAGAGUGUAAAAAACUGGCUAAAUAUUUGACCUAACCUAAAAUGAAAGAAGAAUAUAUUCAGCCUAGAACUAAGUGUGCUUUGGGAGCCUGCUUUGUUCGCUCUGACCAAACUGUGUGUCCAGAACUCGGAGCCAGACAGCUAAGACCCGACUGUUAUUUAAAGGAUUGGUGGGGUCACAGCAGCCUGAGCCUCUCGGGUCUGAAUUAAUCUCCUUGGUGAAGCAGCCUGCUCACACUCAGCUGCAUGUGCUCACAGGUACAUUUGUGUAGAGCAAUGCCAUCCAGUGGUUGCUCAGCUUCAUCACAAAGCCACUGGCUCCUUCCUCAGGGACAUUCUGAGCUGAAAUGUUUCUGCUCUGUUCCCAGCCAAGGCAGUCCUCAGAUACUGAAAGACUGUGAAAGUGACUGGCUUGAUUGUUUCCAGCUUCUUUGUCCUUUUUCAUGUAAAAAUGAGGUAUGUUUUAAAUAGGAGCUACUUGAUAAUGUUGGAAGAUGUUUUGGGGAAUAAUAUUGUAUGUACGCAGUCCAAAUAUACAAAGUUAUGAUCAGGCCUGAAUUUUGGUGUAGGGAGCAACUACAUGGAGACAUGGAAAAUUACACUGAUUUCUAACAGAAAAAUGCAGUCUUUGAAAGAAACUUUUUUGCUGGCCUAAUCCCAGGAGAUCCUGAGUUUGUUCACUGGGACAUUUUUGCUUGAGGAUGAUGCCUAGAGAUAGGGAUGUACCACAGCUAAGCUGAGCCUCUCUCCAUUAGCCUAACAUUUUAAAGAGCCGUGAGCAUUAAAUUGAGGGGCAUUAAAUAUAUCUGGUUGCAUCCCCUCUCUUGCCUUCUCCCAAAGAGAGAAAUGUUAAAGCCCCACAGGGGCUAAAUUAAGAUGUCAGUAGUUUUUGCCUGUUGCACUCCCCAAGUCAGACAUAAUCGCAUGGCUCUUGACAAGGACACUUUAUCAUAUUAAAUACCAUGGUUGGAGCUGGAGCAACUGUUCAGCUUGCCGAGCAUCACCCGGCCUGCUGGACACAGCCCGUCCCCAAGGCACUCAGUAACAACUUUCCACAGGCUGCAGAGCUGCACUGCAGAGCCUGCUCUCACUGAGGGGCUGCCCUUUGCAGCCAGGCACUGUACCCCACAGGUCUGACCCUCCUUCAGGCCUCAGCCCCCUCGUGUUCCACCAGGUGCCCACGUACUGCUGCGUUUCAGAGCAGCGUCACUCCUGCUCUGUAGUACAAAUUCCAAUCAGGCGUGACAAAGCCCACUGGGUGCUGCUGACAACAGGUGUCUCAUUAAACAUCUCUCAACCUUACAGGCAUUCACAUUGACAAGAACCAAACUCACACUCAAUCACAGCUUAAUCACAGCCAAACUCUAUUAACAAGUCAUACUAAUUACCAACUUCUAACAAUUUCUCAGGUUCAGAGGCAAAAUAUCCUUUCUUUAUAGAUGAAAACAGACUCGUGAUACUCCAGCUCUGGCCAUAAUUAGGUCCUUUUAAACAAAACAAGCCAAAAAUAAAAAUCCAGACGGAUCCCUUCGUGAUAAUGGUCCUGAAAGUACAGUUGUACAAUGACAUGUUUUGUUUGUUUUAAUUUUGUAUCUGCUAUGUUGCCCACAAGGGUCCAAUUAGCUUGUUACAGAUGCUUGUACCAGUUUUAUCCACUUGUCUUUUUUUAUUUUUUUUAAGAGGGGUAACUUGUAGCACAGAUUGCUGGCCUGCAGGCAUCCAGAGAUCAACAACCAGCUUUCUGUGAUACCAAGCCCCCUGUGAAACAGGCAGUCCUUACUCGCAGCAUUCAUAAUGCAAAAGGUAAAAAUGAGGGGAGGGGAGGGAGGGGUUUGCACUGGAUUUUGGAUUUUUGUGAAAUACUCUGGUGUGUUCAAAAGUGGCCUAAAGAUGGCAAUUCUGCCAUGGCUUGGAAAUUAAAAUGCAGGCUUUAUUUUUAAUAGCAUAAAGUGCUGCCUUGCAGUAAAAUACACAGCUCUUAAGUUGUGGCUUUGAAUUGUGCGUCAGUAUUUAUUCUUGUCCCCUGUUUUAGCACACAUGUAAUUCUGCGUUAACUGGGAUGCUUUUCUCCAUUGUGUGGCUGUAUUGAGUGCCCAAGUACUCGAGAACUCACUUGUGAAUCGAUAUGCUCACAAAAGGGUACACAUAAGUAACAGGACGAGUCUGACUUGAACUGACAGUGGGGGUAUCAAAGUAAGGGCUAAUGUCUCAUCCUUAACUCAUGCUGUUGCUGGAGAGGAAAAAAAAGCAACAGAUUGAGUUGGAGGCUAACAAGAUUUCCUAACAUUUUCGGAGCAGUGUUGUUCAAGGAAGAAAGCCUCCUCCCAGUACCUGCUAUGCAAAACCCAGGAGGUAGUUGUUCAUGGGUUUAGUUCAUAUUUGCUUUUCCUCUCCUUUAUUUUAAAAGGAAGUUUUAUUUCUCAUGAAAGAUUACAAUGACAGCUGAGCAGAGAAUCACCAUCUUGAGCCUUAGUUUUGUUAUGUAGUAUUUAGUAUUAUUUUUACCUCAGGAGCAGGUAGUUUUAUUUCUUCAGUGAGGCAAUACAGGAUGAACACAUCAGGAUGCCUGAAACUCCUGGGACAGGUUUGCAUUUCCCAAAGGAGGGCUGGUGUGAUGUGUGUGGAAUCCCAAUUUGGUUCACCUUGAGGUUCAUGACCUGAUGUGGCAGUUCCAUGGAGCCACAGGCAACCACAAGGAGCUGUAGGAAGAAGCAGAAUGGCACUGGGAAAUGAACCUACCUUCACCCCCCUCAGCACAGCCCCAUGAGCACUGUCCUGCACUUGCCUGUGGUGCUAGAGCCCAGCUGUGUGACCCCAGUGUGAUGAGCAGUAACACAACAGGUAACAGUAUUGGAAGGGGAGAACUCAAAAAUUAGUACCUGGCAGGAGCUGGAUGGCUUGGUUUUAAGGUUCAGUGUUGAAGGCUUCAUCUUGUAAGGACAGAGUGUUCUCAUCGUGACACUGUCAUCCUCCUUCAUCCCAAGGCUGACUGGAUAUGAUGAAGUGCGCAGGCCCUGCAUAGAAUGAAACAUAGGAGACUGUGGAGCAAACCACUGCUUUUCCAGAUACCAUGCAUAAUACAAAGCAAAACUUUUUUUUUGUAGUUUCCAGGCUGAAGAUGGAUUGGCACAACAUUUCAUUGCUCAUCAGGUUCUGGCAUGAGCUGGCUGAGGUAUUCCAAAUGCAGUUCAGCAAGGAAACAUACCACAGAGGGGUGGGAUACAGUUGAGUAAAGCUGCUGGUGAGUAACAGGGAAAUCCUGGCGAGGGUGAAUGUGGGCACAUAUUCUACUAGAUGGCACAGAGAGUCUUAUCUUUACUGGUGCAGCAGCACUGGUACUGUGGAAGUGUCACCUCUAGUGAGGGUCAUUAAAAAUAGGAGUGGUUGCAGUGGCCAGAAUAGCAAUGGCAAGAGGCACCCGUCAUCCCAGGGUAGACGAGUUUCUGAGGCUCUCACACAGGGAGAAAUAGAAGUGUAUGGCACAAUUCUGUUUGAGUAGCAAGAGGAAAAAUGAAAGGUCUCAGUUCAAAUCCAUAGGCAGGUUAGGAGAACAGGAGAACCACGACAACAUCUGUGCAGUGCUCCGUCAGGGGAAAAUGGAGUUCUCUGCCUAGCCAUAGUCUUGUUCCUCCUCAUAGCAGGCUGCUUCAGAUCAGAGCAAAAUAGGCUUUUUUUUCCUAGGAUUUGCCAGAUUGAAUUUGGAAGAGGCCAGCAGUGUCUGAUGGAGGCUGCAAAGAUUAGUUCUGGUUCCAGCAUUUCUUCAGCCCAGACACAGCAGCAAAGUGCAACCACAGGGCUGAUGUCAUCUGUCUGCUUGGGGAGGGCUUGCAACCAGCAACAGCCCUUCCUACUUUUGAACUUUGCAGUGGAGACUUCUUUGUUCCCCAUGGAUUUAGUGUUCCUGAGGUUUAAAAAGAAUAAAUCAGAACAAUUGGAGCUUUACUAUUCUGUAGAAUGGCUGCUUCUGAUCAGAAACUGAAAUCCCACUCCGUACUCCUCCAGUGUGGAAAUCUGUCAGGUAAACAGAAAUCACCUCAUAAAAGCUCCUAAACAGCUCUGUUUUAUAUUUUAAUUGAGGAACAGAACAUUUUAAGUACUUUUAUUGGGUGGCGCCUGCUGAAUGACAGAUGUCCAUGGCGGAGUAUUGCUGAGCACACUUUCAUAAAACAGGGCAAUUCCUUGCUUGAAACAUUUACAAUUAAAGGCUUGAUUGAAUAACGAGUUCUGUGCAUGGAGCUCAUUUCUGCACUUGUUUGUGCACCUGAAUCAGGCUGGGAUUGUUCGGGAGGUUGGAUAUGAGGUGUCAGUUGCUUUGUUCAAUGACCAAAUAGUGCUCAUGGGCACAGCUGGAAAUGUGCCUUUGAUUUUUCACCGAUAGAGAUAAGGUAUGCUGUGCUGUGCUGCACUGCGAGACUUACUCACACCCUCACUUCAGCUGGGAGGCUGAAAUUACAUGUUAGGAACAAUCCCAGUUUGUAAACAGGCAGAGAUUUUAAAAUGAACAGUAAUCCUUAGUAGCUGACAAAGUCUUAAGUAAUUUCUGCUUUAUUUUUUAUUUAACUCCUGUGACCCUUAUUACUUUGAUACCCGAGAGCUCUCUUUGAUACCCAUGUCUUUGUGCAUCGAUUCUCACAAUAUCUAAAGGAAGUCAGGCCAGCAUUAGUAUUAUUUUAUCCGUCUGUAUUAUUUUAUCCAGGGAACUGAGGCUUGGGGAGAUCAGUGACUUGUCCAACGACAUUCUUCAAAAAGGGGUCCCAGUGCUCUAAACACAUGACCUAUCUUGGGACAGUAUUUAUGAUUUUGCCUUGUAGAAACACUCAAAGCAUGGAACAACCAACAGCAGAGUGGAUGACAGGGUACAAACUGCAGACUUUCAUUCUAGCAACUCAGAGACUCAAGUUAGAAAGGAUUUCAAGUUACACCAAUACUGAACUGAAAAAAAACCCAUCUCUAACCUGCUACCAACAUGAAGUUGUCAUGGCACAGAAAAUCCUAACAGUGAACGCCUAAACAUAGGAAAAAGCCCCCACACCUCUUUGAAAACUUGAAUCCACAAAGUAAAUCCUGUCUCAGCAGAAGAUGUGGGAACAGCAGAAGGCAAAAUGUGUCAUGCGAAAAUCUUACUGGAUACAACGCAGGACGAGAACGUGCAAACUGAUGCAAAAUUAAAUGCCAUCAAACAAGAUAACACAUAUACCAGCACUGAAGAAAAUGCACAGCAUGCUCACGAAAAAAUAUUAAUUCCAAGGGGGUCUGAGGACAUCUAAGCAGCCCCUGGUGACUCUAUUUUGCCAGGAAUAUGGAAAUUUCCAAAAAAGGAUGCAGGAAGAUGCUGCAGAAAUUAAAUGAGGAAUAAAUGAAGUGUAAGGACCGGUCAGUUACAGAACUAAGUGUAAGAUGUGUCAAACCCAGCCCCAGUAUGGAAAAAAACAAAGCAGGUACUGAGUGAUUAGUUUGUCUGCUACUAAAAAGUGACCCUGCUGUUCAUCUCUAGGAUACCAUCUUUCCUUCUUCAGCACGCUCUGCAGGCAGUGAUUUUCAGGAGUUGCUGGUUUGCACAUCCAAAGUAGGUGCAUCUCAGUUCAGGGCAAACAAAAUGGUAGAACAGCUUUACUUGCAAAAUCUUUGUAGAUGGGGGAAUAUUCUCUGGUUGAAAGGAAAAGGAUUGUGAUUCAGAGGCUGGUGUGAAUAUGUAAGGGGCUCAAUAUUUAAUAAAGCACACCUUCUUCGUGGCAUGAGUGACUGAGCUCAUUCAUGCUCAACAUCCUUGAAUUUUAUUGUGCUACUCCACAUUUAAGCGAUAACACAAAUCCUUCUGCAGAUCUAAGAAGGGAGGAAACUUUCACAAGUUUUUUACUGGAUACUGACAGUGAUUCUGGCAAUAGGCUCAGCUGAUCAAAAUCCUUUAUUCUGAGCUGUGGAGGAAGAUGCUCCUAAAUUCUUCUGCUUUGUCUUUGGAAGGCCAAUGGCUUGUGUAUUCCGGUGACUCCCCAGAUCUCCCAUAUAAAUCAGAGAAGACAAAUAAGUUGUAACUACUGUAGUGCCUCCAAAUUCUCACAGUCUCCAUCACAAGCUUUCUACUGAUGAAAAGUAGUGAGCCAGACAUAUUUCCACAGAAAAUCUUGGUGGGCCUGUCCAACAGCAGCCAGAAAAGCAAGAUGCCUCUUCAGAACAUGGGACAGCUGUGGUUACAGUGGGAUUACAGAGAAUGACAGACAAAGUGAAGACAAGUACAAGCAGUGCAAGAAAAAUGAGACCCAGUCCUGAGUCCAGAAACUGUUCAGUGUCCCUCUGCCUUCUGCUGGCUGCGAGAUGGUCUGGAGAUUUCUAGAAAUCUUAUUCCACGUGCCCCACUCCCAGUGUAGGAGCAAAGAGCCAUUUCCAGCUACUUAUAAACCCAGCAUAGUGGGAAAAAUAAAUCAUGUUUUGGGGCUGUUAUUCUCUAAAGAAAACAAGUGGCCUAACCCUGUACAUACAGUCACGACACAGGAGUUAGGCUGAAGCAUGUGCUGAGGGAGGAGAUGAGGAUCUGGCUUGCACAGCUGCCUUUGAGCAGGGUCAAGACAAUCUCACACAGGGCACAACUCCGUUAGUUUUGUUCUGGUCUUUCUUUCUUUUUUUUUUUCUUUUUAAGAGCAUUAGCUCUUUUCUAAAAAUGAUAUUCUGCUGUGAGUGGGAAAUGAGAACAGGCCAGUCCAAAGGGAAAGAGUGCAAUGCAUCGGCUGCAAGCCUAAAUAAAUACUGAGGUCUGAAGAUGCCUGGCUCAAUUUUGUUUUACAGAGUUUCAUUUCAUGAAUCUUUCCCUUUCAUUGUUAACCACUCACAGCUGUGAUACAAUGAAUAAUAAUAAUAAAAGAAAUGUAUUCAUUAUUCAUAAUAAAAGUUCAUAUUUCUUGUAGAAAUGAUAUAAUUGGUGAUCAGGAAGUACAACUCUCCUAAAAGUUACCAGGGCUUCUUAAGUAUAAGCACAGUCCCCACAUGCCCUGUGUUCAGGGGGACGUGUUUGUUAAGCCUUGGUGGUGGGCUGAUUUGGUGUAGCAGAAAUACUAACUCAUGGCCCGAAGCAGUGAUUGAGCACCUGGUGGGAAGGCAGGGCCAACCCAGGGAGCUCAGGUGCAUGCAAUGCAAUGCAAUGCGAUGCAAUGCAGCUGAGCGACCAGAAGGGGUGGAGCCAGGAUCCACCUCUUUCCAGACCUCUUUAAAGGUUGGCAGGAGAGACACAGGUAGCUCACUGAAGACUCCUGCCUAUGUGAGGCCUUCUGAAGAGUUAAGUUGUGGUUCCUGUCCAACACAGAAGAAGAGCUACAUUUGGUGGCUCUGCAUCUCACGUCGCCCCUGUGCAGCUGCUGGCCUGCUGUCCAGGACAAGGAACUGCCAUGUGGUACAUUCCUAACGACAGAUUUGGGAAACAGCGACAGCUGAACACCUGCAUUCUUCUCAGCCUUUGCACCUUACUGCCUCAGUUUCCCUACUGAUAAUUAAAGCACAUUUAUAUCAGGAACUGUUUUUCCAACUAGGAAAAUUAUCUCAGCAUUUAAUACUGAUUUUCUUUUACUGAAAGAUAGCUGUGAUCUUCACAUUUCAGAUUCCAUAGCAGAGAAAGUGCUGGUGGAAGAUACUGGCCUGUAACACCUACCACUGGUCCUCCAUCUGCGGGGCUGUGGGCAUUGCUAGUUCAAAUAGUUAGUUCAUCUGGAGGAAAAAUAUUUAACUUGGGGUAUAUGGGGCUUCAGAGGCAGAAGGGCACACCCUAAGAAAGUGCCCUGCUGGUCAUUUAAUCCCUGCUUUCUUCACUAUGUGGUGCGCAUUGGCUGGCUCAGGAGGUGUGCCCUGCUCCUCCAGUGCUGUGAUGUGACCAGCAACCCCCAGACAUGGGUGGCUCUGCAGCUGCAUAUCCUGCCUUCUGAACUCUGAGUCCUGGGAGGGAACUGGAAGAGCCCCCUGGUUUUAACUGCACCAGCCACCCCUACCUACCUUAAAGCCCCAAACCACGAGGGGCAGUUGGUUACACAGCAUCAUAGGGUGCAAGCUAUUAGCCCCAAGUGUUUCCAGAUUCCAUUUGGUGCACGGCACAAGCCCUUUCCCACACAAUAUCUGAACUGAAGCUCAUCAGCAGUGCCCAGGUUCAGAUCCUGACCAGCCUGCACUGCAGCCCCUCUGCUGAACUAACCUGAGAUGAAAGGCGUCAAAUGACAGGAUAGAGAGUGCUGAGAGCUGGCAGCGGAGGUUUCUUCUGCAGACAUCUUGCUGGUUGUUUUAAGGUCUUCUGCCUCUAAGUGGCACCAUGCUGAGUGAUUGAACACUUGCUAGAAUCUGUUCUACCUUUUAUUGCAAUGAUUUAUUACAGAGCUCCCAGUUUCCAAACUCUGAACUUUCACAAAUGCUGCCUGGAUGUCAGAGCCCUUUUGUCAGAAACACCAGAGCCUUCUGGAGUGAUGGUCUCGGUACUACAAAACCCCUUUGGAAAGCCACAGCUCUUGAACCAGCAUGGGGAAAGACUGAACUUUCAUUUUUAGAGAAGGCUCUCACACCCCCAGGAUCUGCAUCUGAGAGGUACUCAAAAUACAGCCAAGAGAAGCUUUCUUUGCUGUAAAUUUCCAGAGGAUUACACUGAAUCAUAGUCUUGCAUAGUCCAGUUUACAGAUUUGUAUGUACUUAAUAUAAUUAGCCUCAGAUUAUCUUUAUGUAGCUUCUGCUCAGAGAGCAGGAAGUAAUUUGGAAGGGGGACAGAGGGUGUCCCAGAAUGGAUGGGUCCAGUCUACGUCCACUACGAGACAGACAGACACACACUUGUUCUGAACAUCCUGAAACUGCUUAAGCAAAGCGCUCCCCCCAGACUAGCUAUGCAGUACUGGCAAUGUUGUGCUGCUUAAAACAGAAGGAAUUGAUUUCUCUGUGCUCACAACACAAUAGCAUUCAGAUAUUCAAGCACCUAUUAUGAAAUCUGACUUUGCUUUAGUACUUAGAAGUCCUCGCAUAUUUUGUGGCAUUUAGGGCUGUCUUACUCUGCCUGAAAAUACAGUGAGGCUUUCCUGUCCCUACAUAAUGAAACAAAAUCCACACCCCAAACUCCUACAGCUCAAAACAACCAACCAGUGCAGCUCAGGAAAACUAUGGUAAGGAAAUGUACACCAUGAGAAAAGUUUUCCUGUAUUUGAGAGAAGGUUGUCAGGAUGGUAAUAUAGUACAGUGUGUAGUGAGGACUGGGAGAUUUAUGUGCCGAUUCUGUGUAUGAUUUAUUUUGAUGAAUUGUUUUUUAUCAAUAUGUAAAAAUCCAAUAAAUAUAACUCCCUUUACAAAGGGUUGCUCCAGUCCCAGUGUUUCAGUGGACAGUUUUGGCAGAAAGUCAGGAUGUGCAUUAAAAACACACUUUUUGAGAAGUCUAAUAAAUAAAAGCUCUGAAAUAUGGUUUCCUACUGAGAAAGGCAUUUUAAAUCAUUUUGAUAAAGAAUCUAAAUUAGGCCUUAAAAGGAGGGGGAAGCUAGGUCCCUGCAACUAAUUAUUUAUAGGUAUUUUGAAUAUAAAAGUCCAGGAAAGCCUGCCUCCAUCCCCCAUUCUCUGCCACAAUAAAGGGGAAAGAAAAAGCCAUUCCCCUUCCACCUCCCACCCAAAUUAUAAGGCAGAAGUGUUAGAAAGGGGCCAAAGAAAACAAAAUUAAAAUAGGGAACAGAGAACUGACAAAAGCAAGGAACUUCAGAAGUCCUGGAAAAAAAAAAAACCUGCACACUUUCUCCCCAAAGCAGCGAUACCAGGAGGGGACAGGUCUUCACUUCUCCUCCUCAUUACUCAAGAGCAGUGGGCUGCUACUCACCCCAGUCCUCUGAAGAGGGAAUAUACUGAUAUUUGCUAAGCACCACAGGGAAUGUUUUUAGAAGUGAAUAAACAUUUGAAUAGCCCCAUUCUCUCUGAAAGUCAAAGCAAUUUAGAGAUGGCAUAGAAGUCAAAACUGCUGGGGAUGUCGGCUUCUGAAUCACUUAAGUGCUUCUGGAUAUGUUAAUCCAAAACGUAGCUGACGUUUGGCAUGUGUACAGCCACCCAUGGGCCUUGCCUUCAGGGGAGUUACAGCACAGCGACCUGCUACCCCCUGCAGCAGAACCAGUGGGGCUGAAGAUGUGCUCUGUGCUUCAGUGGGAGAGUCUGUGGCUCUGCAGCAGCAAUUGGCAGCGCCCUGGUUUGGAUCUCAAGCCAAGCCCAGAAACUCAGGUGCAGUUCACAAGGCUCAAGGCUCUGAAUGGGAAGGCUGACAAAUGAGAGAUUAAUAAAUGGAAGCACAGUGUGUGUGCUGGAGAGAUUUCUGCUAUGGUGGUUGUGCCUACCAGGCUUCCUACUGAACUUACUGCUAUUCAUCUUACAGACAUCUAGAAUUUCCCUCCCUGUUCUCAGCUUCACCUUGUACUCCCUUCUGCCUCCAGGCACGAGCUGCUCUUGUCCCUGCACAAGGGCCAUUCAUUCGCUGCUCCAUCAGGAGCGCUUCCCUCUGAGUUUGGGUUCAUCCCUCUCCUUAAAUCUGACCUUCACAUCUUCCUUCUCAUUGCAGGGCUCAGUAAGGUGCACUACAGAAAGAGCCACUGCACUUGCUGAAGCAGGAGGCUGCUAGCACUAGGGAAGGAAAACACAAACCUCAGAAAAUUAAUAGAAGCAUUUAAGAGUUGGAAUUUAACAAUGUGGGUCUGCAUCUACCUUUGGCCUGCCUCUGUACUGUAGUUUCACAGGACACAAGAGCGCCCUUUUGUUGACUGGGGCCAGUUACAAGUCUUCUAGCAUCUUCCAAAUGCAAGCAAGACAAGGCUGCCCAGACUUACAGACAGCUUGCAGCCCUGAUGUGUGCACAGCCUGAACUUGCAGACAGUGCCCUCUCAGGUCAGAAAGAGCAGAAAAGCUCAGCCACACAGCACCAGUGCAGCAUUUAGCUCCAAAGCUGACACAAAUACGUGGCCAAGUUUUCAAAAUAACUGAGCAGCUUCAGGGCUUUGUUACCUGCAAACACAUCAGUGGGAACUGCAGGACUCAGUUCUGAAAACCUGGGCUGGGAAUACUCAAAAAAAGGGCCAAGGGCUCCUCUGAAAAUAUCCUAAAUGACCAAAUGAGAAAGAGCAAUGGAUAGGAUGGCAGCACAAAACCAGAAGGUGCUAGCUGCAACUGAAGACAAGAUUUUGUCCCCAGUUCACAGCAGCUCUGAGAUUUCUCUCAACCCACCAAAAAGGGAAAAGAGAAGUUCACAGAUAGUCAAAAUGUUAAAAAAAUAAAAAAUAAUAAUAAAAAAAAGCAAGCAAGAAAGAAAAAAGCAGAAAUCUGAAUUCAAACUGAGACUUAAGUAAUAAAAAAAACCUGCCAAAAAUGUUCAUUUGUUUCAGGAAAACUUAAACACAGGCUUCUGACAUCUUCAACUUAACCAAAAAACAUCAGCCAUAAUGAUUCCUCCAUCCGAUUCAACAUUAAUAUUCAGACAAAUGUCAGAAGCUGUCAUUUCCCAAGUGAAAGCAAUCCACAUUCAUUUCCAGCUGGAACACCUAAGGCCACACUGCUUCUGAUGAACCAGCGGUAAAUUUUAAGCUGAAAUGAAAGAAAGAGGUAGAAGCUGAUGCCUGAGUGCCUUCUGAAAAACAUCAAAAUGUAUUUUCUUUUCAGUCCCUAAAAAAAGGAUCUGAUUAUUUAGGGAUCCUUUCCUCCUCGCUUCAUUAUCAUUAGCUUAGCAGCGCUGGGUUAUCUAAUUACUCAGCUAGAGCUGGAAACUGCAUUUUCAUGUAAUAAGGUGUAAGAGGACUAGGCUGUCUAGCUUAGUAGUCAGUACUUGAAGAACAGCUGUAAAGAGUAGAGUCGGGAAGGCUGCAGCACAAGAGGAAAUCCUCAGUAGAAUUCAAGUGCUUUACAUCUGUCAUAAACAUACUUCCAGAUCAAAUUAAAGGAAUUUCUUUUAACUGUAUUCACAGGCUCCAAACACUCCACACAACAAGCUGCCUGAGAUCUUAGUCAUUCUGAGAAAUGAAUCAUUCCCCUUGUCAUCUGGCUGUUCUCUGCUGACUGCUAAUUCGCUGUAUAUUGAUUUUAAGACUCUGUUAACACAUUAUAUUUUUGUGUUAAGCCAGGAAAGCUUUUCUUGCUGAAAAAUCACGUCCCAUCCUUAUUCCUCACAAUAUUCAGUUUUGUUCCUUCUCAUUUAUUUAGAAUGACUGAUCAACGCUGUUUAAUCAGCUUUUAGUGGCUCUGUGAAUUGUUCCAUGCUAUUGUAACCACCUACAUGUUUUUCUACCAGCAUUUAACAUCACAACAUGAGUUCUACGUUUUGGACUUCUGUGUUUGCCUACUGAUGCAAAAAUUUAGCAGAGCAAAUGAACGUUGAGGUAACACCCUGAGAUUUUGGAAUUACUGCUCAGAGAAAUGACUUAUCUAAAGGAAGAACUGAAAACACAGAUCAUAGGAACGACACCAGCAUUUUUCCUCACUGAUUUGAAACAGGUCAGGACUUCAAAAAAUUCCUGUAAAAACCUGUGCUGUUACAGCUGGCGAUUAAAAUGUACAAUGAAUUAGAUAAUAAGUAUUUUGUUUGCUUCUUCUGAAAUGUCAUUAGCAGUGACGUCGCUCACUGGGCUAUUACAGAACUGCUGUUGGCAAAAAUUGAAGUGUAACACAGCAAAGCUUCAUGUUUCAGAUGCUUAUAAAAUUUAAUCCCCUAAAUAACACUACUAAUUUGGGUCUACUUGUAUGGCAGAAGAUUGUACAUAAAUAUUUUUAGUAUGUACUUAGACCACAACUUUGCUUUUAUUGAACUGUUUCUAGCGGGUCUAAGAUCUUUGUCACUUCAAAAUAAAACACGUUGGUUCCAUUAAAGGUAUUUAAACAUUCAA
Tympanuchus pallidicinctus (lesser prairie-chicken) is the source of this 29237-nucleotide long non-coding RNA. RefSeq lists it as uncharacterized. Lineage: Eukaryota; Metazoa; Chordata; Aves; Galliformes; Phasianidae. The record is from RefSeq and is a predicted model, not a curated record. The transcript is spliced from 4 exons.